UUCUGUGUAUGCAUGGACCAGGAGGGGCCUGAGAGCGGCAGGGCCGAACCAGGGAAGUUGCAGUUGGUUACCUCCCGACAAGUCAGCUCUGUUGCACAUGCGUUGCUGAACAACUAGCCAUCCCAUGACUUCCACUUCUGGUUAUGAAAGGUAUAGCUCCAAAUCCGUCCAUUGGCCCACGUUCUGGAGACGAGCCUGCCAUUGUCAUACUCCAGCUUCUCAGACCAGUUCCCCCGCUGAAUGGUGCUGACAAGGCCAGCUGGCGAAGAUAGAGGUCGCCACGCACCCUCAGCCUGCGCUCAUAGGCCGUGUGGUUGCCCUUGGCCUGCUCCCUCCUCUGCCUCCACUCGAUGAGGCUAGGAGCGUGCUCGCUGGGCAGCGUGAUGUUGCACUUUCCCAC
This is a long non-coding RNA of Brienomyrus brachyistius, 400 nucleotides long. RefSeq lists it as uncharacterized. The transcript is spliced from 3 exons. The record is from RefSeq and is a predicted model, not a curated record. Lineage: Eukaryota; Metazoa; Chordata; Actinopteri; Osteoglossiformes; Mormyridae.